Syngnathoides biaculeatus (alligator pipefish) is the source of this 2310-nucleotide long non-coding RNA. RefSeq lists it as uncharacterized. The transcript is spliced from 4 exons. Lineage: Eukaryota; Metazoa; Chordata; Actinopteri; Syngnathiformes; Syngnathidae. The record is from RefSeq and is a predicted model, not a curated record.
GCAGACAAGCAGUCAGCUGUCCAUUGUCGUCAUGCCAGAUUUUUGUUGCACCUACGGAUGUGGAAAUCGUGGAAACAGAGACAUUGGGAAGCGAUUUUUCCGUGUUCCAAAGAUUAGAUUCCAUGAAGGAGAAGAUACAACGGAGUUAUCGAAAAAAACAGCAACAAAAGUGGCUUGCAAAUAUGCGACGUGCAGAUCUGAACGAAGCUCCAGUACACAAGGCAAAGGGAAAUCUUUCAGAUCCUUUGAAAGCAUGUCGUGGUGGAAAGUAUACGGAUCGAUAUCUUCACAGAGUUUGAUCUUCUGCACAUAUCUAGCUUCGGCGACAUCAUCGAGUGAAUUAAAAAAUGGCGGCCAUUAGCACGUGUUUGCGACCCAAGGAUUGCCUGGCAACCAGUUCAGGGUGUACCCCACCUCCUGCCCGUUGACAACUUGGAGAGGCUCCAGCGCUCCCUGCGACCCUCGUGAGGAUAAGCGGCAAAGAAAAUGGAUGGAUGGAUGUAUCAUUCCAUACGCCUAAAUGUUAAAACAUGGCAAAGGUGAGGUUCUGAUGCACAGACGCGCAAGGAGUCCGUGAAGUGCAAAACAACAAGUCCGUAACAUGAUUGAUUGAAUAUCACCACGUCAACUUACCUCAAGCAGUAUUGGUUAACACAACGGUGCCAUUUAACUAUCAAUACUGCAACCUUUAACGCAUUUAACCUGUCAUUUACAAAAAAAAAAGGAGCUUUUCACUGCUUUAAAACAUUUGAUCCCUCUUCCUGUCACAGGGUCCAGGCUUGUGAAAGCUAAUUGACUCUAAUGAAGCAGAUAACAUGGAGAUCCUCCUGAUGGUGACAUGGGAAAUGAACUUGGGAGGUUCAGGUGAAACCCGAGAAAUCCCGGCGACGAUAUUUCCUGUGAACAUUGACUCUAUUCUUUGCCAGAUCUGUGGCAUGAUUAGGCGCUGGGAAGUGGAAGGAUGCAUUCCUUGCCUGAGUGAGGAGGAGGAGGAGCGGGCGUAGAUGCUUCAUAACGGGAUGUGGUUGUGUCCGGAAUCAACCAAUCACAGACCAAUCACAUUCAGACUCAUUCAAACCUGGAAUUGUCAAAACAUUUCACAUCCACUGCAUCUUCAUUGCCAUUUGUACAUUUAUCCAUCCAGUUUCUUAGCCGCUUAUCCUCAUGAGGCUGAGCAGGGGUACCGGAGCCUAUCCCAGCUAUCAUCAGGAAAGAGGCGGGGUACACCCUGAACUGGUUCCCAGCCAAUCAGAGGGCAUAUGGAGACAAACAACGCACGUUUUUUGGGAUGUGGCACGAGGAGAACAUGCAAACUCCACAACAGGUGGGGUCGGGAUUUGAAUCCCGGUCCUCAGAACUGUGAGGCCAACAAUCUAACCAAAUGCUGCACUCUCGCGCCCUAGUUCCAAUCGUUAAUUGCAAAUUAUAGACUGCAUGUGCUAUGAUUGAAAGCUUUAAUGUUGCUUCAUAAUCAUAUCACAUCAACAGACGCUGAUCAGAUGCAAUGAGUUCCGUCUUGCUCAAAGGCAAAAAAAACCAAAAAACAACUUUCAGUCAAAUUACUGUUUUGGUAGUCUGUGCCUCUAUUGGUAUUGUCAAUAGUCAUCAAUUUACGGAAGGGUCAGAGGUUCAAAUCCCAGCUCUAGCUGUUUGCUGCGGACGUGUCCUUGGGCAACACACUGAACCCGAACAGUUCUCCAAGUUGCCUUUUUGAAUGAUAAAAGCGUUCUUAACUGCCUUAUCUGGCUAAACAAAGAAACUUUGUUGUGUCAGAAAGGCAAAAAUAAAAAGAUGCAACAUGCACUCGCAAAGGUUAAGGACUGCUUGUGUCAUGCAGUGAUUGUCCUUGGUUCACAAAUCUCGCUUUUGUGGAAUUUGCAUUUCAGAUUUUUAAUGGGUUUUCUCCCACUACUGCAUCUUUGCUCCCAGAUUUCAACAACGCGCAUGUUAGGUUACUUGAAGAUUGCGGGGGUUUGGUCAAAGUCAGCUGGGACGGAACCUCACCUGUGACCUGAAUGAGGACAGGCGCUAUGGGUAAUAGAUGCACGAUACUUACAUUAAUAAACAACACGCAUUUUCAAGCAUUCUUAAACCAGGGGUGGGUGUCAAACUCAUUUUUGUCUUGGGCCGCGUUGUAGUCAUGAUUUCACGGAGAGUUACAACAGUGGAACCAAAUAAUGUUUAAUCAUCAGCUCAUAUUAUCACCAUUGCACAAGAAAUUGAGGGAUAACUAGUUUUAAAGUCAGAUGACAAGGAUAAUACAGUGAUGCCUCGGUUCUCGACCACAAUCUGUUCCAGACAACGGUUCGA